UACGUAGGGGGCAAGCGUUGUCCGGAAUCAUUGGGCGUAAAGAGCGUGUAGGCGGCUCGGUAAGUCCGCUCUGAAAGCCCGGGGCUCAACCCCGGGAGGCGGGCGGAUACUGUCGGGCUAGAGUCCGGAAGAGGCGAGUGGAAUUCCUGGUGUAGCGGUGGAAUGCGCAGAUAUCAGGAGGAACACCGGUGGCGAAGGCGGGUCUCUGGGCAGUAACUGACGUGAGGAGCGAAAGCGUGGGGAGCGAACAGG
RNAcentral lists this ribosomal RNA (252 nucleotides) under uncultured bacterium. Its description in RNAcentral is "partial 16S ribosomal RNA". It matches the Rfam family "Bacterial small subunit ribosomal RNA", at positions 524 to 776 of the family's 1533-position model. The record is from RNAcentral.